AGUGAACGCUGGCGGCGUGCUUAACACAUGCAAGUCGAACGAGAACGGGUUAUAGCUUGCUAUAAUUGUCAGCUAAGUGGCGCACGGGUGAGUAAUGUAUAGGUAAUAUGCCUCUUACUAAGGGAUAACAAAUGGAAACGUUUGCUAAUACCUUAUACUCCUUAUUAACAUAAGUUAAUAAGGGAAAGAUUUAUUGGUAAGAGAUUAGCCUGUAUUGUAUCAGUUAGUUGGUGGGGUAAUUGCUUACCAGGACUAUGACACAUAACUGGUGUGAGAGGAUGAUCCGUCACACUGGAACUGAGACACGGUCCAGACUCAUACGGGAGGCAGCAGUGGGGAAUAUUGCACAAUGGACGAAAGUCUGAUGCAGCAACGCCGCGUGGAGGAUGACACAUUUCGGUGCGUAAACUCCUUUUAUAUGAGAAGAUAAUGACGGUAUUAUAUGAAUAAGCACCGGCUAACUCCGUGCCAGCAGCCGCGGUAA
Molecule: ribosomal RNA, 484 nt
Filed under: uncultured bacterium
Lineage: Bacteria
Description: partial 16S ribosomal RNA
Rfam family: Bacterial small subunit ribosomal RNA
Source: RNAcentral